This 460-nucleotide ribosomal RNA is filed under the name uncultured bacterium. RNAcentral describes it as "partial 16S ribosomal RNA". It matches the Rfam family "Bacterial small subunit ribosomal RNA", at positions 338 to 795 of the family's 1533-position model. The record is from RNAcentral.
CCUACGGGAGGCAGCAGUGAGGAAUAUUGGUCAAUGGACGAGAGUCUGAACCAGCCAAGUAGCGUGAAGGAUGACUGCCCUAUGGGUUGUAAACUUCUUUUAUAUGGGAAUAAAACGUUCCACGUGUGGGAUUUUGUAUGUACAAUAUGAAUAAGGAACGGCUAAUUCCGUGCCAGCAGCCGCGGUAAUACGGAGGAUCCGAGCGUUAUCCGGAUUUAUUGGGUUUAAAGGGAGCGUAGGUGGAUUGGUAAGUCAGUUGUGAAAGUUUGCGGCUCAACCGUAAAAUUGCAGUUGAAACUGGCAGUCUAGAGUACAGUAGAGGUGAGCGGAAUUCGUGGUGUAGCGGUGAAAUGCGUAGAUAUCACGAAGAACUCCGAUUGCGAAGGCAGUUCACUGGACUGCAACUGACACUGAGGCUCGAAAGUGUGGGUAUCAAACAGGAUUAGAUACCCGAGUAGUC